CCUGGUUGAUCCUGCCAGUAGUAUAUGCUUGUCUCAAAGAUUAAGCCAUGCAUGUCUCAGUGCAAGCCAGAUUAAGGUGAAACCGCGAAUGGCUCAUUACAUCAGUUAUGGUUCCUUAGAUCGUACCCACAUUACUUGGAUAACUGUGGCAAUUCUAGAGCUAAUACAUGCAAAUAGAGUUCCGACCAGAGAUGGAAGGAAUGCUUUUAUUAGAUCAAAACCAAUCGGUGGCGGGCUUGCCUUGCUCACCGUUUGACUUGGUGACUCUGAAUAACUUUGUGCUGAUCGCAAGGUCUAGUACCGGCGACGCAUCUUUCAAAUGUGUGCCUUAUCAACUGUCGAUGGUAGUUUCUGCGACUACCAUGGUUGUUACGGGUAGAACGGGGAAUCAGGGUUCGAUUUCGGAGAGGGAGCCUGAGAAACGGCACGGGAAGGUAGUGACGCAAAAUAACGAUACGGGACUCAUCCGAGGCCCCGUAAUCGGAAUGAGUACACUUUAAAUCCUUUAACGAGGAUCUAUUAGAGAGCCAGUCUGGAGCCAGCAGCCGCGAUAAUUCCAGCUCUAAUAGCGUAUAUUAAAGUUGUUGCGGUUAAAAAGCUCGUAGUUGAAUCUGUGUCCCACACUGUCGGUUCACCGCUCGCGGUGUUCAACUGGCAUGUCUGUGGGACGUCCUACCGGUGGGUUUAGCCCGUAAAAAGGCGGCUCAACUCAAAAUCCUACCAAGGUGCUAUUCACCGAGUGUCGAGGUGGGCCGGUACGUUUACUUUGAACAAAUUAGAGUGCUUAAAGCAGACUCAUUCGCCUGAAUAUUGUGUGCAUGGAAUAAUGGAAUAGGACCUCGGUUUUAUUUUGCUGGUUUUCGGAAGUCCGAGGUAAUGAUCAAUAGGGACAACUGGGGGCAUUAGUAUUGCGACGUUAGAGGUGAAAUUCUUGGAUCGUCGCAAGACGGAGAGAAGCGAAAGCAUUUGCCAAAUGUGUUUUCAUCAAGAACGAAAGUUAGAGGUUCGAAGGCAAUCAGAUACCGCCCUAGUUCUAACCAUAAACGAUGCCAGCUAGCGAUCCGCCGAAGUUCCUCCGAUGACUCGGCGGGCAGCUUCCGGGAAACCAAAGCUUUUGGGUUCCGGGGGAAGUAUGGUUGCAAAGCUGAAACUUAAAGGAAUUGACGGAAAGGCACUACAAGGAGUGGAGCCUACGGCUUAAUUUGACUCAACACGGGAAACCUCACCAGGUCCAGACACCGGAAGGAUUGACAGAUUGAGAGCUUUUUCUUGAUUCGGUGGGUGGUGGUGCAUGGCCGUUCUUAGUUGGUGGAGUGAUUUGUUUGGUUAAUUCUGAUAACGAAUGAGACUCUAGCCUGCUAAAUAGACAUACUUUCUGGUAUCGCAAAGACCUUCCGCUUCGGCUUUAGUCACACGAAAGGACAGGCGGCAUUUAGUCGCACGAAAUUGAGCAAUAACAGGUCUGUGUUGCCUUUAGAUGUUCUGGGCCGCACGCGCGCUACACUGAAGAGAUCAGCAGGUUUUCCUUGGCCGAAAGGUCCGGGUAAUCCGUUGAAGCCUCUUCGUGCUAGGGAUUGGGGCUUGCCAUUCUUCCCCAUGAACGAGGAAUUCCUAGUAAGCGCGAGUCAUAAGCUUGCGUUGAUUAUAUCCCUGCCCUUUGUACACACUGCCCGUCGCUACUACCGAUUGAAUUAUUUAGUGAGGUCUUCGGACCGGUGCGCGGCAGCGUUUCGACAUUGCCGAUGUUGCUGGGAAGAUAACCAAACUUGAUUAUUUGGAGGAAGUAAAAGUCGUAACUAGGUUUCCGUAGGUGAACCUGCGGAAG
RNAcentral lists this ribosomal RNA (1825 nucleotides) under Ctenocephalides felis (cat flea). Its description in RNAcentral is "SSU rRNA". It matches the Rfam family "Eukaryotic small subunit ribosomal RNA". The record is from RNAcentral. Lineage: Eukaryota; Metazoa; Arthropoda; Insecta; Siphonaptera; Pulicidae.